This 1906-nucleotide long non-coding RNA is filed under the name Oryza sativa (Asian cultivated rice). RNAcentral's name for it is "long non-coding RNA (OSAT_LNC001040)". The record is from RNAcentral. Lineage: Eukaryota; Viridiplantae; Streptophyta; Magnoliopsida; Poales; Poaceae.
UUGCACUCUCCUUCAUCAUGUAAAAUCUCUUGUAACCUGGAGGUGAUAUAUGCUCUAUUGGAGUUGGAGAGAAGCUGUAACUUUGGUCUAGUAUGUAAGUAACGGUGACAAGUGUGGCAUGGCAAUUCCAAGCCUUCCUGCUUGGAAAAAUUCAGAGAAGCUUCACUACAAUACAACCAGGAUGAUCUCACCAUAUCUUCUUCCUGUCACAACUUCCUUCCAGAAAGCAGUGCACUUGGGCCGGCUUCUGUGAUUGUCUCCAGCUCACGGUUUCUUGUUAAGUCAGCUGGCAGUGUAUGGUUUCAUGAAUGGUCUGUGUCUUUCUGGCAGUUUAAGUAUCUUAUUUGCAUUGUCAUUCCUUGACUAAUCAGGCUGACCUAUGCCCAUACCCAAUAAUGACAGCUGCAGUUUCACAUUGUUUUACAUUGUUUUAACUCAUAUCAGAAUUGAAAUGAUUUUUUUUGUGAGUAACCUUGAAAGGUUAUUAGGAAACUUACGCGUAUUUUUUUAAUGUGGAUGCUCUAAUUUUUCUAUGAGAAUUUCAGAAGAUGUGCUUAUUCUUCAAAAGGUUAAUCCCAAGCGAUUUGGCCUUAGCUUCGUGAGUCCAAGAGGAUGCAGUUCGACCCUCGAACACAUAUGUAAGUAACAAUUUGACAUAUACAAUUGUUAAUUGAUCUCAUAAUUCACAAUAAAAUAUAUCGAGAGUAUAUGAUCUUGUAAGCCAUAACUGAAAUGGAGCUCUAAGCUCACUUUCCAUCAAACCAACAUUUCUUUUAUUUAUGAAGCUAUUUAUAUGCAUUGAUAUCUCUUGUAGUAUAUCUUAGUGAACUUUUGUCUUGACAGGCCCCCUUGGUAUCUUAUUCAGCACAUUGGAAUCAAUCUUCUUGUAGAAUUUCUUGAGGUCUUGACCACCUUUGGCAACCAAAUGGUCUACUUCAGUCUCAUAUCUUUCAUACAGCGCAGGCAAAGUGAGAGCACACAAAAACCCUGGUCAAGAAGACACAGUAAAUUGUUAAUGCAUAUGAAAAAUUUUAUUUUACAAGGAUGCCUGUUUGAUUUAUCAUUGCAUUUACUAAGCAGAUAUGAAAAUGUUGUUAUUUUACAUUCAUGAGUGCUUGAUAAGUCAUUGCAUUUACCAUGUUCUGUCCUAAUUAUUCUUGCCCUUGGUCAAAAAAAAAUGUUAUGUCCUAAUUUUGUUUUUGACUUGUUGAAAUUCAGUGUCCCAGCGAUACUUACCAACAUAUAGUAGAGUUGUGAAACUGCAUGUCUCUCCAAUAACUGCCAAUAUCCACAGAGAUCCUAUCACCUAUUUAUGUAACAACAAUGGAGUUAGUUAAUCACCAAAUUAAUUGCAACUGGAAAUUAACUUUUAAAUCCCAAUUCAUGGGGAUAUUUUUGUUGACUACAUAUUAAUAGUUUUUAGAUUGUGAAUUCAUUGCAAAUAUAUAUGAAACAUCGUUGCAACUGUUAUAGGUCUUGCUGUCACUAAAUCAGAAAAAAAAAAGAAACAGCAAAUUUUGAUUGUACCGCAAGGAACUUCCUGAGUUCUUUCCCGCAUGAAAUGUCAUACAGGACUGCUGAAAAGUGCGCCACUUUGGAAUGCAAUGUCAGUGCAAGUUCUCUGAAGGCAUGUUCAGAAACAAUCACUUCUGGGAUCCGUGGAGGUGCCCUGUAAAUCAAGGUUGGUUAGCUGAGAUGUUACUCAGAGACCAAAAGGAAAACAAAUAGGAGUACGUGGUUGAAAGAUUUCAAUUUGAUGCCACCACUGCAUCUUCUUCAUCUAAUUUAUUGUGUUGUGUUUUUUAUUCAGUAUGGUAGUGCAAACCUGUCAAAGAGAGGUGCAGCAUUGGACCAAAUGAAGAGCACAAGCAUCCCAAGGAGUGCAAUGUGGCAAAGGAGUGUUACU